This 490-nucleotide ribosomal RNA is filed under the name uncultured bacterium. Its description in RNAcentral is "partial 16S ribosomal RNA". It matches the Rfam family "Bacterial small subunit ribosomal RNA", at positions 30 to 507 of the family's 1533-position model. The record is from RNAcentral.
AUUGAACGCUGGCGGCAGGCUUAACACAUGCAAGUCGAACGGUAACAGGAGAAAGCUUGCUUUCUUGCUGACGAGUGGCGGACGGGUGAGUAAUGCUUGGGAAUCUGGCUUAUGGAGGGGGAUAACGACGGGAAACUGUCGCUAAUACCGCGUAGAGUCGAGAGACGAAAGUGCGGGACCGCAAGGCCGCAUGCCAUAGGAUGAGCCCAAGUGGGAUUAGGUAGUUGGUGGGGUAAUGGCCUACCAAGCCGACGAUCUCUAGCUGGUCUGAGAGGAUGACCAGCCACACCGGGACUGAGACACGGCCCGGACUCCUACGGGAGGCAGCAGUGGGGAAUAUUGCGCAAUGGGGGCAACCCUGACGCAGCCAUGCCGCGUGAAUGAAGAAGGCCUUCGGGUUGUAAAGUUCUUUCGGUGACGAGGAAGGCGUGGUGUUUAAUAGGCAUCACGAUUGACGUUAAUCACAGAAGAAGCACCGGCUAACUCCGUG